UACGUAGGGUGCAAGCGUUGUCCGGAAUUAUUGGGCGUAAAGAGCUCGUAGGCGGCUUUGCAAGUCGGGUGUGAAAUCCCCAGGCUUAACCUGGGAACUGCAUUCAAGACUGCAUUGCUAGAGUAUGGGAGAGGGAAGUGGAAUUUCCGGUGUAGCGGUGAAAUGCGUAGAUAUCGGAAGGAACAUCAGUGGCGAAAGCGACUUCCUGGACCAAUACUGACGCUCAUGUGCGAAAGCGUGGGGAGCAAACAGG
RNAcentral lists this ribosomal RNA (253 nucleotides) under uncultured bacterium. RNAcentral's name for it is "partial 16S ribosomal RNA". It matches the Rfam family "Bacterial small subunit ribosomal RNA", at positions 524 to 776 of the family's 1533-position model. The record is from RNAcentral.